RNAcentral lists this ribosomal RNA (253 nucleotides) under uncultured prokaryote. Its description in RNAcentral is "partial 16S ribosomal RNA". It matches the Rfam family "Bacterial small subunit ribosomal RNA", at positions 524 to 776 of the family's 1533-position model. The record is from RNAcentral.
UACGAAGGGGGCGAGCGUUGUUCGGAAUUACUGGGCGUAAAGGGCGCGCAGGCGGCCGUGGAAGUCAGAUGUGAAAGCCCCGGGCUCAACCUGGGAAUAGCAUUUGAUACUCCGGGGCUGGAGUGCGGGAGAGGAGAGUGGAAUUCCCAGUGUAGAGGUGAAAUUCGUAGAUAUUGGGAAGAACACCGGUGGCGAAGGCGGCUCUCUGGACCGUAACUGACGCUGAGGCGCGAAAGCGUGGGGAGCAAACAGG